GAUGAACGCUGGCGGCGUGCCUAAUACAUGCAAGUCGAGCGAACGGACGAGAAGCUUGCUUCUCUGAUGUUAGCGGCGGACGUGUGAGUAACACGUGGAUAACCUACCUAUAAGACUGGGAUAACUUCGGGACACCGUAGCUAAUACCGGAUAAUAUUUUGAACCGCAUGGUUCAAAAGUGAAAGACGGUCUUGCUGUCACUUAUAGAUGGAUCCGCGCUGCAUUAGCUAGUUGGUAAGGUAACGGCUUACCACGGCAACGAUGCAUAGCCGACCUGAGAGUGUGAUCGGCCACACUGGAACUGAGCCACGGUCCAGACUCCUACGGGAGGCAGCAGUAGGGUAUCGUCCGCAAUGGGCGAAAGCCUGACGGAGCAACGCCGCGUGAGUGGUGAAGGUCUUCGGAUCGUAAAACUCUGUUAUUAGGGAAGAACAUAUGUGUAAGGAACUGUGCACAUAUUGACGGUACCUAAUCAAAAAGCAACGGCUAACUACGUG
Molecule: ribosomal RNA, 497 nt
Filed under: uncultured bacterium
Lineage: Bacteria
Description: partial 16S ribosomal RNA
Rfam family: Bacterial small subunit ribosomal RNA
Source: RNAcentral